UUAUAUGCUUGUCUCAAAGACUAAGCCAUGCAUGUGAAAGUACAGACCCGCAAGCUCUGCUUGCUAUCGAAACGUACGGCAAAACUGCGAAAGGCUCAUUAGAUCAGUUAUGGUUCCUUGGGCGGUACGGUUUACUUGGAUAACUCUGGUAAUUCUAGAGCUAAUACAUGCACAAAGCUCCGGCACGGCAUCACGUCCGAGCAAAGGAGCGCGUUUAUCAGCUUCGAUGCAAAAAGUGGUUCGUCGGUCCGACUCGUUCGGCCGGCAUCCGACUCAGACGUCAGUUUUUGUCUUUCCCUCUUUUCCAUAUGCGUGUUGAAUCUGGAUAAUCGUCGCGGAUCGCUCAGUCCGUUCGCGGGCGGCGACGCGCGCAUCAAGUGUCUGACUCAUCAACUUUCGACGGUCGGUGAUAUGCUUACCGUGGUUGUCACGAGUGACGGGGGAUCAGGGUUCGGUUCCGGAGAGGGAGCAUGCGAAACGGCUACCACAUCCAAGGAAGGCAGCAGGCGCGCAAAUUACCCAUUCUUGACCAGAGGAGGUAGUGACGAAAAAUAACGGUGCGGUCCUUUCGUGAGGCGCCGUAAUCGGAAUGAUUGCGACACAAAACAUCGUAAGAGGAUCUAGUGGAGGGCAAGUCUGGUG
RNAcentral lists this ribosomal RNA (642 nucleotides) under Zeidora sp. MNHN IM 2013-7769. RNAcentral describes it as "SSU rRNA". It matches the Rfam family "Eukaryotic small subunit ribosomal RNA", at positions 24 to 566 of the family's 1831-position model. Lineage: Eukaryota; Metazoa; Mollusca; Gastropoda; Lepetellida; Fissurellidae. The record is from RNAcentral.